CGAAUGCUGACAUAAGUAACGAUAAAGCGGGUGAAAAGCCCGCUCGCCGGAAGACCAAGGGUUCCUGUCCAACGUUAAUCGGGGCAGGGUGAGUCGACCCCUAAGGCGAGGCCGAAAGGCGUAGUCGAUGGGAAACAGGUUAAUAUUCCUGUACUUGGUGUUACUGCGAAGGGGGGACGGAGAAGGCUAUGUUGGCCGGGCGACGGUUGUCCCGGUUUAAGCGUGUAGGCUGGUUUUCCAGGCAAAUCCGGAAAAUCAAGGCUGAGGCGUGAUGACGAGGCACUACGGUGCUGAAGCAACAAAUGCCCUGCUUCCAGGAAAAGCCUCUAAGCAUCAGGUAACAUCAAAUCGUACCCCAAACCGACACAGGUGGUCAGGUAGAGAAUACCAAGGCGCUUGAGAGAACUCGGGUGAAGGAACUAGGCAAAAUGGUGCCGUAACUUCGGGAGAAGGCACGCUGAUAUGUAGGUGAAGUCCCUCGCGGAUGGAGCUGAAAUCAGUCGAAGAUACCAGCUGGCUGCAACUGUUUAUUAAAAACACAGCACUGUGCAAACACGAAAGUGGACGUAUACGGUGUGACGCCUGCCCGGUGCCGGAAGGUUAAUUGAUGGGGUUAGCGCAAGCGAAGCUCUUGAUCGAAGCCCCGGUAAACGGCGGCCGUAACUAUAACGGUCCUAAGGUAGCGAAAUUCCUUGUCGGGUAAGUUCCGACCUGCACGAAUGGCGUAAUGAUGGCCAGGCUGUCUCCACCCGAGACUCAGUGAAAUUGAACUCGCUGUGAAGAUGCAGUGUACCCGCGGCAAGACGGAAAGACCCCGUGAACCUUUACUAUAGCUUGACACUGAACAUUGAGCCUUGAUGUGUAGGAUAGGUGGGAGGCUUUGAAGUGUGGACGCCAGUCUGCAUGGAGCCGACCUUGAAAUACCACCCUUUAAUGUUUGAUGUUCUAACGUGGACCCGUAAUCCGGGUUGCGGACAGUGUCUGGUGGGUAGUUUGACUGGGGCGGUCUCCUCCUAAAGAGUAACGGAGGAGCACGAAGGUUGGCUAAUCCUGGUCGGACAUCAGGAGGUUAGUGCAAUGGCAUAAGCCAGCUUGACUGCGAGCGUGACGGCGCGAGCAGGUGCGAAAGCAGGUCAUAGUGAUCCGGUGGUUCUGAAUGGAAGGGCCAUCGCUCAACGGAUAAAAGGUACUCCGGGGAUAACAGGCUGAUACCGCCCAAGAGUUCAUAUCGACGGCGGUGUUUGGCACCUCGAUGUCGGCUCAUCACAUCCUGGGGCUGAAGUAGGUCCCAAGGGUAUGGCUGUUCGCCAUUUAAAGUGGUACGCGAGCUGGGUUUAGAACGUCGUGAGACAGUUCGGUCCCUAUCUGCCGUGGGCGCUGGAGAA
RNAcentral lists this ribosomal RNA (1385 nucleotides) under Escherichia coli. RNAcentral's name for it is "partial 23S ribosomal RNA". It matches the Rfam family "Bacterial large subunit ribosomal RNA", at positions 1291 to 2661 of the family's 2925-position model. Lineage: Bacteria; Pseudomonadati; Pseudomonadota; Gammaproteobacteria; Enterobacterales; Enterobacteriaceae. The record is from RNAcentral.